This is a long non-coding RNA of Alligator sinensis (Chinese alligator), 2543 nucleotides long. RefSeq lists it as uncharacterized. NCBI's taxonomy places the organism in Eukaryota, Metazoa, Chordata, Crocodylia, Alligatoridae. The transcript is spliced from 4 exons. The record is from RefSeq and is a predicted model, not a curated record.
AGGGAGUCAAGUGACUUCACAACUCAUUAUAGUCUACCUCAUCUCUCCUAAACUUCAUUCCACAGAUGUUAAUGGCCUUCUCUUUUUUUUAAUGGUCUUGAUGGUCCACUAGUCAAGCUAGCCUUUGUUCUGCCAUGCUGCUGUCUGCUGGGAGCGAAGCUCCUACUUCACAGCCUGGCAGAGGCUGCUUUGGCAGAGCUGGCCUCGCGCCCCUGCCAGCGUGCGUGUGCCUGUGUGUGUCCUGAAACCCUUCCAGAAGAAGAAUCCAAAGCGCCGGCUGGAGAAGAGGGUGUGAAAUAGCUGUUGCUGCCUCUCCUUUGUCUAGUGUUUGGUGUUUCCCCUUAUGGGUUAAAACAAACGGACCUGCAAGCCAGGAGGUCCUUUGUGCUGUGCUGCUGACUCCAUUUCAGUGCAACAGAGAUCAACCACAUGUGACUUGCCAUCUAGUGCGUUUCGAAUUGCAUAUGUCUAAGGAACGAGGAACUACCUAUGUCAUGGUGAAUAUAAUGCAAGGAAGGCCAAGGGAGUGGUUAACACUUCAAGGAUUUACAGAUGACCUUAAGCUCCUGGAGGAUUCAUGGCAGAAAAAGUUCAUGCAAAGAAAUCUUAACGACUUAAGAGGAAAUAACUGAAAACAUAUAGAGCUAAUAGUUUAGUGGUUUUCAAGGUUUGAGCUGCAGUCAGGUGGUAUGCUGGCUGGUUUAAGGUACAGUGUUAGAUGACAAACUGUAACUACUGGAUUAAAAUGACAAAACCUGGUAUGUAAAGUGGGUCUGAGUGCUAGAUCUGGCAUGCAGGAGAGUUGCCACAGCCACUGAUGACUUGUACAUGAGAACAACUGGUUCACCAGAACUGAGAACAAAAGGGCAUUAAUGUUUUUGAAUCAGGAAAAAAAAUCUACAUCAAGCCACCAUCCUGCAAGCACUUGUGAACAUGAAAAAUGGAACUGUUCUAUAUGGCAGUAUUGAAUUCACAGCUUUUGGGAUGCUACAUGCUAUUAAAUUAGGAGCCAGAGUGUGCAUGGAAUCCAGAACCACCUGAUGCAUGGGCCCAUUCCCCAAAUUACAGAUGAGGGCUACUUCCAACCAGCGGAGGGAAAUGGCAAAGACACACUGAGCAGGACAAAUGCUGCUCCAGCUGCGUCUAAUGGAGCUCCUCAUAUGGAUGAACUGUAUGGUAGCUAUUGAAGUUGUGUGAUGCUGGUGCUCUGUCUGGAUGUUGAUGUGAUAGGAUGGAAACUGUAGGAGAAAAACCCAUGAAAAUGACUGGCAGAUGCAAAGAUUAGCAAAUGAGCCAUGCAAGGGAGUGGUCCUAGUCACAAAGCUUGUUCAUGAAUAACUAACCAUUGCUCCAUGUGUACAGAUACAACAGUUGUCUAUGGGAUUUGCACGUGGGAUUGUAAGCAUCAAAGGGAGAAGAUUCUACCACUUGGACUAAAAGAGCCACUCCAUGGGAUGCUGCCAAGAUACAGACCCUUUUGUUAAUGGAGUUUUUCACUAGACAGAACCUCAAUCUCCUACAUCAGCCUGGUGUAUCCCCAUGAACUCAGAGCUCUGCAUGGAUGCAUGCAUUUUAAAGAAAUCAGAAUAAAAUAAAGGUCGUCUUUGCCGUGCUGAAAAGAUCAUAAACAAGGACCUGAUUGGUUCAGAUUAUACUGUACACUUGUCAUGUGGGUAGCUGCACUGUGCAUAUUUUAUAGCUGCAUAUAUUAUGGAGUGAGUCAUGCUGUAAAUGGGUUGUGAUUGGCAGCUACAGAGGGAUGUCUUCCUGAGAAGCAGUGAUGCACAAUUAGCCAGGUUAUCUGGUUGUGUCAUUUUGGUAAAAGGACAUGUAGGUUAGUUGUAUACAGAUGUGACGGCAUAGCUGCCAAGUCACGUAAGGUGGCUUGUCUGGGUUUAAGGUUUCAGGGGCUGUAUAAAUGUUGGGGCUUAUUAUUAGAAUGGAAGAGGUGAAAUGGGGCUAUGGUCACAUACCAUGUUACAGAAAAAUCCAGUAACUCGAUCUCUCUGUACUCUGAAGACCUGGAUUGUUUAUAUGUAUGCUACGUCCCCACACAGGCUGCACCAGAACUCAGGCUGUAAGGAUUUUUGUUUCCAGGAGAAAAAGGAAAUUAGCCUGGCUGUUGCCAUUGAGUUCCAGAUCCUUGGUGUUCAGCAUGGUGACAAUCAAGAAGCUAAAAUUAGUCAAAAGUGGGUGAUAGGGGUAGGACCAGUAAUCCUGUAAAUCCCUACCACUGAAGGAUGAGCUUAUUUAAGUAGAGGAGCAAGUGAACUGGCCAGUGUGGGUUUGUAUCACACUUAGAUGAAAUCAGAGCUGCUCAGCUGUGUGUAUGGUUUCUGUAAGUUGGGGCCUGUGAUUUUGGAGCGGGUGGCUCUGAGUUUUAAACCUAGUGUUACUAUCGAUUACUAGAUGACUGUGACACACUUCAGUGACAGCCCUGAAGUCCUAGACACCCCCGUAUUGUUUCUCCCUGUAGGAACAGCGCAGUGCUUCUGUGGAGAGGAUUGUUUUAGGCCCAUGUGUUCUAGGGAUCUACUGGCUUU